RNAcentral lists this ribosomal RNA (253 nucleotides) under uncultured bacterium. RNAcentral's name for it is "partial 16S ribosomal RNA". It matches the Rfam family "Bacterial small subunit ribosomal RNA", at positions 524 to 776 of the family's 1533-position model. The record is from RNAcentral.
UACAGAGGGUGCAAGCGUUGUUCGGAGUUAUUGGGCGUAAAGCGCGUGUAGGCGGCUUGUUAAGUCGGGUGUGAAAGCCCUCAGCUCAACUGAGGAAGGGCGCCCGAAACUGGCGAGCUUGAGUGUCGGAGAGGAUGGCGGAAUACCCCAAGUAGAGGUGAAAUUCGUAGAUAUGGGGUGGAACACCGGUGGCGAAGGCGGCCAUCUGGACGACAACUGACGCUGAGACGCGAAAGCGUGGGGAGCAAACAGG